CACCCAUGGAGAAUUAUGACUGGAGUUCAUACUUGGGUGGAACGGUGAAGAUAAAGCUUUAUCUCGGUGUCAGAAUUAUCAUGGCCGGAAGAGAAGAAUAAAAAUGUAGGGAAAUGAACUGACUCGAUUAAGCAAUGCUAUCAUGGUUUUGUGGUUUUAAAUACCAAUCUUACAGAAGUAGGCGAGGAGCUGGCUCUGAAGCAAAUUGUGGGUUCUGGAGUUAUUACUUGGUUUUUCCGAUUUAGGCAAUGUUUGUAUGUUAAAAAUAAUUUACUAGAAAGGAACUGCCCACUUUUUUUCUUUCAUUUAUGUUUUCUACUGCCCACUUCCUGUCACUUUCAGGUAGGGUUGGAAAAGGCCUUCUCGGACACCAUGGAGGGCCACUGCUAGUAAUCAGAGACCACCCUUUCCAAAUCAGAGAGCAUAGCGUGGGGACGAUGGGAGUUGGCAUUGACUAGAUCUGAAGAGUGCCAGAUGAGCAACAAGGAAGGUUCCAUUGGGGGAAAGUGACUGGCCCCGAAUCCCCCAAUGAACUGCUCAGUUGAGCAAGGAUUUGAACCCGGGUCUCCCAAAUUUUUGGUUUACUGCACUAACCACGGCACCACCAUACUCUAGUGAAGACAAGCGUCUCAUCGUAAGCCUAGCUAUGCAAUGGUUGAAUGAUCUGUGGACUCUUGUCAUGGUUUUUUGUUAACUGGAAUAUCCCCAUGGGAUAUCCUACAAUUUAAACUGUAUAGGAUGAGAAAAAUCUGAGAUUCCCAACCCUGUUUUCCCUGGAGGACAUCUGCACAGAAAGGGGGGAGUUGGGGGGCAGGGGGCUCUGCCCCCUACCUAUAGAUUGGACCCCAAGAUUGUUCUUCACAGCUUUCCUCCUUAAGAGACUCUAAAUGUAUGCUUCAUGCUGGAGGAAAAAAGUCAGCAGAAAGUCUCAGAUUUUUAGUCCAUUACCAAAUCCUUCUGUGCUUUCUUUGUGUCUUGUGCUCUUUGCUCCACAAAAGGUGUGUGUGUGUGUGUGAGAGAGAGAGAGACUAGUUUUGUACACAGACAUUUUGCAGACAACUGAGGAGACUUCAGUGGGGGGAAAUACCAAUCUCUCUCAUAUCAGAGGAAGGAAAUUUCACCAGACUCAAGAUUUUCAAACAGCUUGUGUUCAUCUAAUGGGACAAUCUGUCUCAUUGAGAACAAGUGAUAUAAUUCUUUGCAUCCUUCAUUGUAUGCACCUUGAACUGUUAGUGGCAGUGGUGGUGACGAUAUGGAAAUUGUUUGCAGUUCCUCCUGGCCCUCACAUUUUUUGGAAGAGAGAUCCACCUGUGAUUCUCUGUCCAAGAAUGUACCGAGAGACGCCAGCCGAGACCUGCAAUACUGACCAAUAAGCAGAGAUGAGGACAUUUAUACCUUUUGGCCAUCUGGCUAUAGGAUUCCAGGUAACUCAGCCCCCCAAAAAAGUAACUGUUCUCAUCCCUGCUAGUAACUCAUUCAUUCAGGCUGUAAAACUUCACUUUGAGGCUGGGAUACAAACUAGAAACCUUGUGAUCAUGUUAUAAAGCCUCAUUUUUGGACUUCUCUGUUUUUCCACCCCUUCGCUCCUUUUGGUUCACUUACUCUGGAAAAUUUAGAAGCAUGUACGUAUUGAUAGUAUUCUGAAUAAUCAAUGAAUUACCCAACUUUUCGGAUUUAUUUCCUCCUAAUGGAUGAUACUAUCUGUUUGUUUGCUGUCUUGUUUCUACAUGUCUUACAUUUAUUGGAGGUAUCUCCUUUUGAGAAUGAAUGACGGCUUUAUUGACUUUCCUCCUGAAAUUUGCUUUUAUUGUUCACUAGUUUUCUGCACUCCCUACUAUAGCCAGGAGGUGGGGAUACAAUCAUAUCUUCAGUAAGAUGUCAACUUCUUUUUUUGCGGUCCUGGGGCCACAACAU
Pogona vitticeps (central bearded dragon) is the source of this 1914-nucleotide non-coding RNA. NCBI's taxonomy places the organism in Eukaryota, Metazoa, Chordata, Lepidosauria, Squamata, Agamidae. The record is from RefSeq and is a predicted model, not a curated record.